This 513-nucleotide ribosomal RNA is filed under the name uncultured bacterium. RNAcentral describes it as "partial 16S ribosomal RNA". It matches the Rfam family "Bacterial small subunit ribosomal RNA", at positions 28 to 523 of the family's 1533-position model. The record is from RNAcentral.
GAUGAACGCUGGCGGCGUGCCUAAUACAUGCAAGUCGAGCGAACAGACGAGGAGCUUGCUCCUUUGACGUUAGCGGCGGACGGGUGAGUAACACGUGGGUAACCUACCUAUAAGACUAGGAUAACUUCGGGAAACCGGAGCUAAUACCGGAUAAUAUUUCGAACCGCAUGGUUCGAUAGUGAAAGAUGGCUUUGCUAUCACUUAUAGAUGGACCUGCGCCGUAUUAGCUAGUUGGUAAGGUAACGGCUUACAAAGGCAACGAUCCGUAGCCGACCUGAGAGGGUGAUCGGCCACACUGGAACUGAGACACGGUCCAGACUCCUACGGGAGGCAGCAGUAGGGAAUCUUCCGCAAUGGGCGAAAGCCUGACGGAGCAACGCCGCGUGAGUGAUGAAGGUCUUCGGAUCGUAAAACUCUGUUAUUAGGGAAGAACAAACGUGUAAGUAACUGUGCACGUCUUGACGGUACCUAAUCAGAAAGCCACGGCUAACUACGUGCCAGCAGCCGCCGUAA